Long non-coding RNA from Diceros bicornis minor, 2184 nucleotides. RefSeq lists it as uncharacterized. The record is from RefSeq and is a predicted model, not a curated record. Lineage: Eukaryota; Metazoa; Chordata; Mammalia; Perissodactyla; Rhinocerotidae. The transcript is spliced from 5 exons.
AUUUUUUUUUUUUUUUUGUGAGGAGGAUCGGCCCUGAGCUAACAUCUGCCAUUCCUCCUCUUUUUGCUGAGGAAGACUGGCCCUGGGCUAACAUCCAUGCCCAUCUUCCUCCACUUUAUAUGGGAUGCCGCCACAGCAUGGCUGCCAAGCAGUGCAUCGGUGUGCGCCCGGGAUCCGAACCGGCGAACCCUGGGCCGCAGCAGUAGAGCAUGUGCGCUUAACUGCUUGCGCCACUGGGCCAGCCCACAUUGCUCGUAAUUUCUGAUUGGAUACUAAGUAUUGCAAAUGUCACAUUGUUGAAUGCCUGGAAUUUAUUAUUCUCCUUUAAAGAGUGUUGAUAUUGGUUUUGGCAUUUCUUGUAAAUCAAUUUGAUCUUUUCAUGGCUUGUUUUAUGGUUUUGUUGGGGAAGAUCUAGUAUGGCCUUGACCCUAGUUUGGCCCUAGUACAAAGGUGUGAACCCUCUGGGGCUCUACAGAAUGCCUUUGGUAUUCAGUAAGGAUUUAUCCCUCUGACUCAUGGGAAUUCAAACAUCUCAUAGUCCCAUAUGAAGUCUGGGAAUUGUUUGGUUUAGAUUUUCAUGAUAGUUGUUCUUUGCCCAAUCUCAUGGCAUACACAGAUCCCUACUCAUCAAAGACACAGGAGGACCCCACGCAAGUUUCUUGAGUUCUUUUUUUUUGUGUAACUCCCUCAUCUAUGGUUCUCCACUCUGCAAAUUCCAGUUGCCUAACUCUUUCUGAAAUUCAGUCUUUAUCUCCUCGACUCAAUGUGAUCACCUUGAUCUGCUUGGGUUUUCCUCCCUGCACUGCAGUCUGGAACAUUCCUCCAGCUGGGGCAUAGGGCUCGCCUCACUUGUCUCCCUUCAAUCUGGAACCAUAAUCUUACACUGACUGUUUACCCAUGCCUGAAAUGUAUUUUUCCACUGUCCUCAUCGUUUAUCACAGAACAGUGAGUACAGUGCCCUAAACUCUGUCAUGACCUAAGAAAGAAAUCUCACUUAAGGAUUUUCCUCAAGAGAAUGAUAUGACGUCAUUUGUUACAAUUCUUCUCCCUCAUUGGCGGCAGGAACAGAUAUUGACACAGUUAACACAAGUAAAACUAGAUUAAAUGCAAAAUAGAUACACAAACAAUACAUUUUGGUAGCUGUUAAACCAUCCAUGUACUAUCUUGUUCCUUACUUGCCUAUGUGUGACAGGCUUAUCAAUCUUGCCAGGUUGUAGGGUUCUCAGUCCUUCUCCCCUUCAGUGCUACUUACAUCCCAAGGAACUCAAUAGAGACACACAAGUAGAUAGAUUGUGCUCAGCUCAAGGAGUUAGCUGUACAGUCCAGUGCUGUGAAAGGAGUCUGGCUUCUCCUUGACACUGAGUGGAUUAUCACUACCUUGGAACAGCAGUAGCAGCAUCGGAAGCAGUAUGAUGGAGACUACAAGAGAAGCCUUCCAAGGUCCUGAAGAGAAAGCCUCCACAUGUGAGGCACCAUGUGUUAAAUGAAGAAGAUCAAAGUGGAAACAGGAUUGAAGGGGAUAGAGAUAGAAAACAGAGAGAGAAGUGCGUAGGUUCUCUCUUCUCAGUCUUGGCCCACUUCGUAUUUGUUCAAGGACAGAGUUCACAAGAGAUAUGUCAUGUGCUCAUUCCCUCCUCCAGCGAUGUUUCUGAAGCACCCACAGCGCGCUCUACCCUGAGUGUGGCACCGCCGUCUGUCCCGAAUCUUGCUGAGGAGAUUUCAAGCCUGAGUCUGCGACUUUGCCAGAGGCAGAGACAGAAGAUCCAAGAACCUAGAGAUGAAGCGUGGCAAGAUGGGAACAGCCUGGAUCACUUUGUCACUAUUGGAGUAGAAUGACCAAGGAAAUGACAACAGAUUCUGAUGCUAGGAUUUGAUUGAUGCACUCAUCCUGUGACCACCCAGCUCGAGAUGACAGACCUGACACCAGCCACGCCCAUCGAGACAGCAGACCUGCUCCCCGCUGUGUCCAUCAAGAGCUAUUCUGACAGGGCAAUCUGGCAGGGCGAUCUUGUGGCUAUUGUAAAAUGGACAUUGCAAUCAUAUGUGAUACAUGCUCUUUGAGGGUAUAUAACCGCUCUGUACACCACACUUCUUUGGUGCCCUGCCUUCCUCGGGGAAGGAAGGCCCUGGGCUAUGGUCCACAAAAGUUGGCUCAUAAUAAACUCACCCCAAUUUUGAUUUAUA